RNAcentral lists this ribosomal RNA (492 nucleotides) under uncultured bacterium. Its description in RNAcentral is "partial 16S ribosomal RNA". It matches the Rfam family "Bacterial small subunit ribosomal RNA", at positions 29 to 507 of the family's 1533-position model. The record is from RNAcentral.
AGUGAACGCUGGCGGUAGGCCUAACACAUGCAAGUCGAACGGCAGCACAGUAAGAGCUUGCUCUUACGGGUGGCGAGUGGCGGACGGGUGAGGAAUACAUCGGAAUCUACUUUUUCGUGGGGGAUAACGUAGGGAAACUUACGCUAAUACCGCAUACGACCUACGGGUGAAAGCAGGGGAUCUUCGGACCUUGCGCGAUUGAAUGAGCCGAUGUCGGAUUAGCUAGUUGGCGGGGUAAAGGCCCACCAAGGCGACGAUCCGUAGCUGAUCUGAGAGGAUGAUCAGCCACACUGGAACUGAGACACGGUCCAGACUCCUGCGGGAGGCAGCAGUGGGGAAUAUUGGACAAUGGGCGCAAGCCUGAUCCAGCCAUACCGCGUGGGUGAAGAAGGCCUUCGGGUUGUAAAGCCCUUUUGUUGGGAAAGAAAAGCAGCAGGUUAAUACCCCGCUGUUCUGACGGUACCCAAAGAAUAAGCACCGGCUAACUUCGUG